RNAcentral lists this small RNA (133 nucleotides) under Paenibacillus sp. RNAcentral's name for it is "c-di-AMP sequence". It matches the Rfam family "c-di-AMP riboswitch aptamer (ydaO/yuaA leader)". From Rfam's summary of the family: This family represents a conserved RNA structure found upstream of the ydaO and yuaA genes in Bacillus subtilis and related genes in other bacteria. The ydaO/yuaA element is thought to act as a genetic "off" switch for the ydaO and yuaA genes in its native state. The record is from RNAcentral. Lineage: Bacteria; Bacillati; Bacillota; Bacilli; Caryophanales; Paenibacillaceae.
UAACUCAGAAGGCCGAAGCUUCCUGUAAGCACGGGGGACCCAUUAUUUGGGGUGAAGCCGCUAUCUGCGGCCGGGUGAUUACUCUUUGACCCGAAUCCGACAGCUAACCUCGCAGGCCGCAAAAAGGAGAGGU